Molecule: long non-coding RNA, 1139 nt
Filed under: Gossypium barbadense (sea-island cotton)
Lineage: Eukaryota; Viridiplantae; Streptophyta; Magnoliopsida; Malvales; Malvaceae
Description: long non-coding RNA (GBAR_LNC006294)
Source: RNAcentral
GAAAUACCCCCAUAUCCGCUUGACUCCCUUCUUUCCCUUUCUCAAACCCCCCAUCAGCUGCAGCAAGGCCACCGCCUGAGACCUCUCCCCUGAUUAACGGCGAGAAUUGAGAUCCCAACGGGUCCUUUCCUAUUUUUGCAGCCUCAUUAACUCGAGAAUCAUGUGAUCCCCAUCCUCUCCGGCAACUUCAUCAGAUGCUACCACUGCGUCAGCCUCCGUUCUUUCCAAGACUGCCUCUGGCCUCUCUAAAACUGCGUCAACUCCCACCGACAGACACAGCUCUUUUACAUGCCCAUAUUUCCCAUAGUUAAAGCAGACCGUCGGAAGAGAUUCGUAUUCAACCCGUUGAACUUCCCCAUCCACCAAGACCUUAGAGAUGAGUGGUCGGUCGAGGUUGACGAACACGGCCAAACAGGAAAAUCGCCCCCAGGUGCUAUUGUUAGUUUGAAAGUCCAAUUUUACAACUUUCCCGAUUAAACUCCCAAUAGCUUCAAUGAUUUGUCUUUUGUACAUAAAACCCAGGAGUCCCGGUAGACAAAUCCACGCCAACACCACACUAGGGUAAGGCUGUGCUGGAUUGAACGAUUUCGUCCAAGGUUAUACAGUGAGGUAUUGCCCAAAAAUUAUCCAAGGACCUUGAGUUAAGACUUUGUUAUAAUCCUUCAUGUCCUGAAAUUUAACAAAAAAAAAUAACCAUUAGUGAUGUCCAUUAGAUGAAAAGAUUUUGCAAGUUUCCAGAGAUUUAGUUUACGGUUGUAAAGCACGUUAUAACCAAUGUUGCGCUCUAGCAACUUAAGAAUAACCGUCGAUUCCAUUUCCUUAAACAAUAUAUCUUUGAUGCACUUCGAAAAAGCAAUUGCUAAAAUGCCAUUAACCAUUGACAUCCCCAUCUAGAAUUUCUAGAUCACCUUCAUUCCUCCCGAGAUUCCUUGCAAGAUUUCAAUCGGAGGUGGUCACUUUUCCCCCCAAAAGUUUGUCUUUAAAAGACACCAUCGGCUGUUGUUCAGAAUCAACAACCAUAUUAGUCUCUUCUUCAUCAACAACUUCCAUGAAACGUACUUUCUUGGUAUUCCGAUCACCAACAUCACACGGAUCGCAAGCCGAACCAUUACCAGAAUUUUGCAUCUUAUCUAUCGCGU